This is a long non-coding RNA of Zingiber officinale, 449 nucleotides long. RefSeq lists it as uncharacterized. The record is from RefSeq and is a predicted model, not a curated record. Lineage: Eukaryota; Viridiplantae; Streptophyta; Magnoliopsida; Zingiberales; Zingiberaceae. The transcript is spliced from 3 exons.
AGUUCCUUCUAGUAGAUAUGAAUGGGUGUGGUUCUGGUAUGGUUGCGAGAUGAAUCGGGGACUAUUCCUGUUAGGGCACCGCGGUUUAUAUCUUCUAUCUCGUUUCCUCUUAUUUCUGCUGCGAAAUUGGGCGUGGUGUUGUUGAUUCCUACAUUGCCACUGUGAAGUUCCCUUACAUUGCUUGCUGGUCGGGUUUUGGUGGGGAUAAUGGCACCAAGAAUGUGGUAGGGGUCGAGGAGGUGGAGUAACUGAGGAGGAGAGAUGAAAUGCAUAGCAUAUUGUCCGGAAAAUUCUAGAGCACGUUAUACCCUUCAGUCUUUCGAUUUGUCAUGUAUGAGUUGAAGAAGAAUGGUUGAUUGUUUCCUUGGCAUGAGUUCAUAAUUUUGUUUACUUGUAUUUGGAUAUAUUCGGAAUUGAGGUAAAUGCAGUUGCAAGUUUUCCUUCUUCAA